RNAcentral lists this ribosomal RNA (484 nucleotides) under uncultured bacterium. RNAcentral's name for it is "partial 16S ribosomal RNA". It matches the Rfam family "Bacterial small subunit ribosomal RNA", at positions 30 to 507 of the family's 1533-position model. The record is from RNAcentral.
AUUGAACGCUGGCGGCAUGCCUAACACAUGCAAGUCGAGCGGAUGAAGGGAGCUUGCUCCUGGAUUCAGCGGCGGACGGGUGAGUAAUGCCUAGGAAUCUGCCUGGUAGUGGGGGAUAACGUCCUGAAACGGGCGCUAAUACCGCAUACGUCCUGAGGGAGAAAGUGGGGGAUCUUCGGACCUCACGCUAUCAGAUGAGCCUAGGUCGGAUUAGCUAGUUGGUGGGGUAAAGGCCUACCAAGGCGACGAUCCGUAACUGGUCUGAGAGGAUGAUCAGUCACACUGGAACUGAGACACGGCCCAGACUCCUACGGGAGGCAGCAGUGGGGAAUAUUGGACAAUGGGCGAAAGCCUGAUCCAGCCAUGCCGCGUGUGUGAAGAAGGUCUUCGGAUUGUAAAGCACUUUAAGUUGGGAGGAAGGGCAGUAAGUUAAUACCUUGCUGUUUUGACGUUACCAAAAGAAUAAGCACCGGCUAACUUCGUG